This is a long non-coding RNA of Ailuropoda melanoleuca (giant panda), 3046 nucleotides long. RefSeq lists it as uncharacterized. NCBI's taxonomy places the organism in Eukaryota, Metazoa, Chordata, Mammalia, Carnivora, Ursidae. The transcript is spliced from 4 exons. The record is from RefSeq and is a predicted model, not a curated record.
GUCCACUGCUAGUGGUGACAGAGGCGGGAGGGGGCUCGUGGGGGGGGGCGGUGUUGCCUCCCAGGGCGGAUGUUCUGUGGCUGCAGUCGAGAGGAUGAGGGGCGGCAAGGGUGAGGCCAGAGAGCAGGCCAUGUGGGUGCCGAAGGUGGCGGUGUUCAUGGCCGUCAGGGGUGGCUGGGAACUGCGGUCCUGCAGGGAACAGUGGUGGCCAGUGGGGAUGGUUGGUCAUGAUGGUGGAAUCUGUGGUCGCUGGUUUGGUGGCUGUGGAGUGGGUGGGGACUGUGUACGUGGUGGCCACUUUGCUGGGCUGGGACAAAGACCAUGGGGACAGAGGAGGUGGCUGGCUGAAUUUCCCAGGGCACCUGUUUCUCUGGGGAUUCUCGUCUGAGUCCGCCAUCCUCCCUGGGAGAUCCGCAGCCGGCCGCUGCCAGUCCCUCCCCUCCCCACUGCCCACAGGGGUGUCAUCCUCUGCACUGGUGAUGCUGUGCUGUCUCGGCUUCUGGCAGGUUCUCACGGGACCAGCCGCUUGGCUAGCAGAAUCAAGGCUUAUGAUCGCUCUUGUGCCCAGACCUGUGGCUGAUGUGUUGGCCUCAGGAAGGAGCAGAAGCAGAAUUGAGGGGCACCCCACACAGAAACAGGGGGGCUGAAGGUCCUUAGUUUCAGGAAACUUUCAAGGAGACACUUUUCAGGUGUGAAAGGGGAGCUCUCCGGGAUCAUGCCUGUGAAGGGACUGUCAGGGGUCCUGGGACCUCGUCCUCUGUCCAGUGUGGGGGAGCAGUGCCUUCCUCGCAGGGUGCAGAAGAAGGACCCACGGCAGGUGUUUCACGCAGGGCCAAACCCAUACUAAGUGCCCCGUGAGGAGAGGCCAGCUUUUCCCAUUCUCACAAGGCAGCCCUGUUUCAGCGGAGUCCGCCUGCAAAAAUCGCAGACUCCCAGCCUGUGGACUCCAUCCAGCCCGUUACUGUGUUUUAUUUGUGCUGUUGAUAGUUCCGUAACAUUUUUUGGAUUUAGUUGCCAGCACUUGGGUCAGAGAUUUCACACACAAGUGUAGAUUUCCAGCCCCCCCGGAAGAAUGGGGAGACUUGGUGCUUGGGCCCACGCCUCCGCAGGCAGCAUCAGGUGGAACACGGGCCCUCUGGUUUGCCGCAGACCCCACCUCUCCCUAUAGCCCUUCUCUCCCCUGAGUUUGGGCCUCCUGCUCCAGCCUCACCUCUGUGGCUCGGUGUCCUCCAGUGGUGCUCUGUGCCCACCUGGCCUUCCCCGUGGCACCCUCGGAGCCACGGGUCCACAGCACAGACCUCCUCGAAGGAAGGACCUUGGUGUAAUUAUAUCUGGAUUUGGGGUGGCCAGGAACAGACCUGGAAAUAUUCUCUUAUGAGGCGGAAAAAGUUUAUUAGUUUAACUGCUGGCACCAGAAUUCCUCUGAGGGAGAGAAGUGUCUUGUGUGAAGAAUUUGGUGGCCGUUGCUGGGGGUGGAAGUGGGAGUCCAGUUUGCAGGUGUCUGAUGUCAGCACCUGGAGUUGUUUCCAUGAGACAGGGAAGAACUUGUUUUGUUUCUGAAGAAGAGAGCUAGAGAGGAGGAAAAGGAGAGAGAGCUUAUAAGAGAAGAUGAAAAAGGAUGGGGCCGUGUGAGCAGGUGUCUUCGCGGCCAAAGGCCAUUUUGGAAACAGUGGAGUGCCUUUCAAGGCCUCAGCCUUCUCCUCUGUGAAAUGGGGUGGUGAAGACUGCAGGAAGUGACGGCGCCUAACCCAGGCCUAGCUGAGCCUCCCGGACACUCAGAAGGCCUGAGGCAUCUCGCUGCUCGGGGCUCGCUUCGAAGCACGCUGCCGCUCCUCUGUGUAUUUGUCGCCUGCUUCUCCCCGACAGCACAACAGCUCCCCAAGGGCCGUGUCUGCGGUUGAGCCGCGGUGCCAAGUCAAGGUCAGCACCUGCACUUCGUGAGGCCUCCCUUAGUCUGUGCCGGCUGAUUGCCGGAGGGAGCCAACGCUUUGACUCUGAAAGAUUCCAUCUGCAGGGGGGUCCCCGGUCCUCUUCUAACCCGACCCCUCCUUGUGCAGAUGCCAACAGGCCGCUCAGAGGGGAAGCCUGACUCACUGAGAGGCUCCCCUGCCACCGUGGCCCCGUGGCCCCGUGGCCCUGUCAAUGGCCCGCUGCUCCUAGGACUCCUGGGAUUGGGUUUGGUUUGGUUUGGUUUGAAGUACCCAAAGACGUGUAUUGCAGCGUUGUUAAUGGUAGCGAAAAGCUGGAAACAAAAGGAAUAGUUACUGGUGCAUGCACACCGCAGGAUGCUUUAUGGACGUUAUGUUACAUGAAAUAAAACUGCAUGAAUUGUGUCGGAGGGAUUUCCAUUGUGUUGUUGAGUGACAAGAGUGAAAUGCAUGGGAGUGUUAAGUAAGAGCCCAUUUUGGUAAAACACACUGUGAUACACUGUCCAUGUUCAGGAUGACUCGAGAAUGUGGGCUCCUUAUUUCGUAUCACGAGCCCCUCUCAGGCUAGCCUCUGCCCUCCCCCGGGGCCAGGACGCUGGGCUCUCUCCUGCCAGCCCCAGAGGGUGCUUGGCCCAGCUCUGCUCUCGGGAAGGAACUGGCCAUUCACCUUCCUGUGAAGCCCAGGGUGGCUCCCCGGUGUGCCCAAAGGGCCAGCCUCCCCAACCUUCUGAUCCCUGGCCCAGAGCAGGGUGCUGAGGGAAGGUGUCAUUUGGUCCCCUGGAGUCAUGCCUGCUCUGGAGACAGCUUGCUCUAGCUGGGGUCACCUGGCAUGUCCAGAACCUGGACCCCAGAGCGGGAACCUCAGCCUCCAUGGAGCUUCCCUUCUCCCACUUGUGGACUCCUGGACUUGGCCCAUCUUCAUCUGCCUGCAUGCCUUUAUGGCAGGUGGGGAAGGAGGCCCGCAUAUGUACAACUUAAGAAAAACAACAACAACAACAACAACAACCACCACCAAACAAAAAACAGCACACACGAGAACUCAUUUUUGUUGUGGAAAAAUGGAAUGUUCAGAUGAGCAGGAAGAAGACAAUAAAAUUUUCCCUCAAUUUCAAUAUCAA